ACUCCUACGGGAGGCAGCAGUGGGGAAUUUUGGACAAUGGGCGCAAGCCUGAUCCAGCCAUUCCGCGUGCAGGACGAAGGCCUUCGGGUUGUAAACUGCUUUUGUACGGAACGAAAAGGCUCUGGUUAAUACCUGGGGCUCAUGACGGUACCGUAAGAAUAAGCACCGGCUAACUACGUGCCAGCAGCCGCGGUAAUAC
This 199-nucleotide ribosomal RNA is filed under the name uncultured bacterium. Its description in RNAcentral is "partial 16S ribosomal RNA". It matches the Rfam family "Bacterial small subunit ribosomal RNA", at positions 335 to 526 of the family's 1533-position model. The record is from RNAcentral.